Molecule: long non-coding RNA, 437 nt
Organism: Dreissena polymorpha
Lineage: Eukaryota; Metazoa; Mollusca; Bivalvia; Myida; Dreissenidae
Exons: 3
Source: RefSeq, a predicted model, not a curated record
CCAUUCACACUGGGGGCUGACGAGGUAUAAGCGUAGUCCGUUUCGCUACGAAGUCGGGUAUAUGUUUUUCUACGAAAACAUUGUGUACAUACACAUGACAUCGAAGAACGGAUUAGUGGAAAUUUGUGUUUAAAACAGAGUCAUGGAGUGGCUGGAUGUUUCCUUUGAGGAAGAGAUAGUAACAACGACACAACAUGAUCCGAAGCGCACAGUCGACAUGGUCCGGUCUCACUAUGAUGCCGGCGGAGCCCCGGUGCGUGAUCAGGCAUCUACCGGGAUGAACCGGGGCCAUACCGGGAUGAACCGGUGCUCCACCGGGAUGAACCGUAGACGACCGGGGACAACCGGGGCUCCACCGGUAAAAUAUUAAAAUGUUUAAUACCUCCGAGAUGAACCGCGAGUCACCGGGAAGGACCGACACCGACCGGCGUGGCACU